Non-coding RNA from Arabidopsis thaliana (thale cress), 705 nucleotides. The record is from RefSeq. NCBI's taxonomy places the organism in Eukaryota, Viridiplantae, Streptophyta, Magnoliopsida, Brassicales, Brassicaceae.
UUUUUCUUAAGAUUAGUUUUUUUUUUUUUUUUCUUAAGAUUAUAAUAUAAUUCUUCUCAAAUGGGCUUGGGCCAAAGCCUACAACAAAAAACAGUCCAGUUACAAAAGUGGUUAAUCGACAACAUUGCCGGAAAAAAAGAAAAGCUCUCUGCUCGUUGAUAGAUGCCAGCAGAGGACCGGAGCCUUAAAUCCGGCGGGCUCAAGAGCUACCGUUUCGUGGUCACCAACGAAGAUCGGGAAUCUCCAACGAAAGAGACCGGUUUUCAUCAUCAAAACCAUCCCUCCGAUGCACCAACCCACAACAGAUCUCCCGGAAAGCUAGUUGCUCCGACUAGGCACAUCGACGAAAUCGGAUCCUGAAAAAGCAACCCAAUCCACUGGGCGGUAACCCUUCUCUUCCAAACCGAAAGUAGCCAAAAAACCUGAGUUUCGACGAUUCAAUCCGGCUCGAUGGAUGCUAAAUUGAGGCAGAUCUAAAGGAUGGUGGCUCAAAUCCAUUGCCUUUAAACCCGAACUCCUCAACCGCCCUCUAAGACCCUAUGGAUCUGCAGCUAACCACCGUGCAAACCAAUUUUUUAAGAUUAGUUUUCUUUUAUAACAAUUUUAGUUUUAAUUAGAAAAACUUGACAAGAUUUUGAAGGUUUAAUAAGAUAAUUUAGACUUCUUUUUAAAUAUUCAUGAUCAAAUUUACAGCUCCAAAUUUUU